RNAcentral lists this ribosomal RNA (423 nucleotides) under uncultured bacterium. RNAcentral describes it as "bacterial SSU rRNA". It matches the Rfam family "Bacterial small subunit ribosomal RNA", at positions 355 to 775 of the family's 1533-position model. The record is from RNAcentral.
UAAGGAAUAUUGGUCAAUGGACGCAAGUCUGAACCAGCCAUGCCGCGUGGAGGAUGAAGGUCCUCUGGAUUGUAAACUUCUUUUAUCUGGGACGAAAAAGGGUCUUUCUAGAUCAACUGACGGUACCAGAUGAAUAAGCACCGGCUAACUCCGUGCCAGCAGCCGCGGUAAUACGGAGGGUGCAAGCGUUAUCCGGAUUCACUGGGUUUAAAGGGUGCGUAGGUGGGUCUGUAAGUCAGUGGUGAAAUCUCCGAGCUUAACUUGGAAACUGCCAUUGAUACUAUAGAUCUUGAAUACCGUGGAGGUCAGCGGAAUAUGUCAUGUAGCGGUGAAAUGCUUAGAUAUGACAUAGAACACCAAUUGCGAAGGCAGCUGGCUACACGAAUAUUGACACUGAUGCACGAAAGCGUGGGGAUCAAACAG